RNAcentral lists this ribosomal RNA (544 nucleotides) under Panulirus ornatus. RNAcentral describes it as "partial 16S ribosomal RNA". It matches the Rfam family "Bacterial large subunit ribosomal RNA", at positions 1795 to 2592 of the family's 2925-position model. Lineage: Eukaryota; Metazoa; Arthropoda; Malacostraca; Decapoda; Palinuridae. The record is from RNAcentral.
UCGCCCKKUUUNACAAAAACAUGUCUUUAUGAAAGUUUAUAUAAAGUCUAGCCUGCCCAGUGAUGUUUAAAUUUAACGGCCGCGGUAGUAUGACCGUGCUAAGGUAGCAUAAUAAUUUGUCCUUUAAUUGGGGACUGGUAUGAACGGUUGAACAAGAAAUUAACUGUCUCUAUUGCAAACUUUGAACUUUACAUUUAAGUGAAAAGGCUUAAAUAGUAUAGGGGGACGAUAAGACCCUAUAAAUCUUUAUACUUUAACUAAUAAAUUUUAAAGAUUAGUUGCAAAUUUAGUGUUAUUAAGUUAAAAUAUUUUGUUGGGGCGACAGGAGUAUAAUAAGUAACUGCUUUGUUUAUAAAUUUAAUUAUUUUUAAUGUGUAAAUUNNGUAUUNGAUCCUCUGUUGGAGAAAUCAGACUAAGUUACUUUAGGGAUAACAGCGUAAUCUUUUUUGAGAGUCCAUAUCGAAAAAAUGGUUUGCGACCUCGAUGUUGAAUUAAAGAUCCUUGAUGGCGUAGGGGCUAUGAAGGAGGUCKUCGACCCAUCAAG